RNAcentral lists this ribosomal RNA (1083 nucleotides) under Triticum aestivum (bread wheat). Its description in RNAcentral is "partial small subunit ribosomal RNA". Lineage: Eukaryota; Viridiplantae; Streptophyta; Magnoliopsida; Poales; Poaceae. The record is from RNAcentral.
AUGGCGGUCACCGUCGGCUGUUCCGACGGUUCGAUUCCCAUCUCGGAAGCGCGACGCCACGCGGCGGCGCCGGCACGGCCGCGCAAUCUCCGGUUCCCCGUCACGCCCCCGCCCAGUCGUGCAGCCUCGAAGUCGCCGCCGACUAGCCAUGACGACGCGGCGGCCCGCGAGAUCCCGGUUGCUGUCGCCCUGCUACUCGCCGCCGCGGCUGCGAACGCGGCCAUCCCGCCCGCCGCGAUCGCUGCGUCAGGCGGCUCCAUGGGCGGGCGCUCCUCCUCAUCGUCUUCGUCCUCUAGCUCCUCUUCUUCAACAUCCAGCAGCUCCUCCUCCUGGUCCUCCUCAACAUCCUACAGCUCGUCCUCCUCAGGACCAUCUUGGCACGAUUCUUCGACGACUCACGAGUCGGUCGGGACGGCGGCCGCGCCACCCGUGGCAGCUGCGGGCGUCGACCCCGCCGUACUCGUGCAAGCGUGGCUGAUGCUCAUCGGCCUCAUUCUCCUGGCCGUCGCCGUGUGGCACUACACCCGGCCGAGGAGGACCGUGGUCAAGCUCCAGGUUGCAUUGCUGGGCUUGGCAAAGCCGUUUCAGAAGGAACUGAACGAGAUUGCUGAGAAGGUGGUGAGGCUUCUAACCAGCGUUGGUAUAAAGACCAUAUGUGCCUUGAACCGUCACAAUGAUUGCUGCGUCUCUUCAAGCUUAUCAGCUGAUGUCAAAGUUGGAGCGGAUUCUUGGGAGGGGCAUUUCGAUAAAAUUUCUCUGGAGGAGAGGAGCAAAUUUGAUGAAGAAACACUUUACAACUUGGAUGGAAUCAAGAGGAAGAAAGAGUACUCCAAGAAACCAGAUGGCUUCAGCAACGAAUAUAUAGUGGUAACCAUCCUAAUGGCUGCUGAUGGAGCACUGAAGUUCCCAGAAAUCAAAAGACCCGCUGAUCUGGUAGCAGUACUGGGAAAACUUAAUUCUAUACCUGCAAGCAAAAUGCGGGGCAUUAAUGUUUUAUGGACUCCUCAAGAAGAGAAUGACGUUCUUUCAGAAGGGAGGUUUCUUGCAGAUUAUCCUAAUAUGAAGCCCCUGAGUGAUUACUAG